This 887-nucleotide ribosomal RNA is filed under the name uncultured delta proteobacterium. RNAcentral's name for it is "bacterial SSU rRNA". It matches the Rfam family "Bacterial small subunit ribosomal RNA", at positions 56 to 918 of the family's 1533-position model. Lineage: Bacteria; Deltaproteobacteria. The record is from RNAcentral.
UGCAAGUUCGAACGCGAAAGUUCCUUUCGGGGAGCGAGUAGAGUGGCGCACGGGUGAGUAACGCGUAAAUAAUCUACCCUGAUGUCUGGGAUAACCCUUCGAAAGGGGGACUAAUACCGGGUAUAUGAUUGACUGUCGGGUUAAUCAGGAAAGGUGGGGCUUCUUCGGAACCUAUCACAUCGGGAUGAGUUUGCGUACCAUUAGCUAGUUGGUGGGGUAACGGCCUACCAAGGCGACGAUGGUUAGCGGGUCUGAGAGGAUGAUCCGUCACACUGGCACUGGAACACGGGCCAGACUCCUACGGGAGGCAGCAGUGAGGAAUAUUGCGCAAUGGGGGAAACCCUGACGCAGCGACGCCGCGUGAGUGAGGAAGGCCUUCGGGUCGUAAAGCUCUGUCAGAAGGGAAGAAGUGUAUUGCGGUUAAUACCCGUAGUAUUUGACGGUACCUUCAAAGGAAGCACCGGCUAACUCCGUGCCAGCAGCCGCGGUAAUACGGAGGGUGCGAGCGUUGUUCGGAAUCACUGGGCGUAAAGGGCGCGCAGGCGGUUUGUUUAGUCAGAUGUGAAAGCCCACGGCUCAACCGUGGAAGUGCAUUUGAAACUGGCAAACUUGAGUACCAGAGGGGAAGGUGGAAUUCCCGGUGUAGAGGUGAAAUUCGUAGAUAUCGGGAGGAAUACCGGUGGCGAAGGCGACUUUCUGGCUGGAUACUGACGCUGAGGCGCGAAAGCGUGGGGAGCAAACAGGAUUAGAUACCCUGGUAGUCCACGCCGUAAACGAUGUGAACUAGAUGUUGGAGGUGUUGAUCCCUUCGGUGUCGGAGCUAACGCAUUAAGUUCACCGCCUGGGGAGUACGGUCGCAAGAUUAAAACUCAAAGGAAUUGACGGGG